RNAcentral lists this transfer RNA (21 nucleotides) under Dendrobium mariae. Its description in RNAcentral is "partial tRNA-His". Lineage: Eukaryota; Viridiplantae; Streptophyta; Magnoliopsida; Asparagales; Orchidaceae. The record is from RNAcentral.
GCGGAUGUAGCCAAGUGGCUC